GGGGGUGUAGCUCAGUCUGGUUAGAGCGCCGGCCUGUCACGCCGGAGGCCGCGGGUUCGAGUCCCGUCACUCCCGCCA
RNAcentral lists this transfer RNA (78 nucleotides) under Rhodospirillaceae bacterium. RNAcentral's name for it is "tRNA-Asp". It matches the Rfam family "tRNA". From Rfam's summary of the family: Transfer RNA (tRNA) molecules are approximately 80 nucleotides in length. Their secondary structure includes four short double-helical elements and three loops (D, anti-codon, and T loops). Further hydrogen bonds mediate the characteristic L-shaped molecular structure. tRNAs have two regions of fundamental functional importance: the anti-codon, which is responsible for specific mRNA codon recognition, and the 3' end, to which the tRNAs corresponding amino acid is attached (by aminoacyl-tRNA synthetases). tRNAs cope with the degeneracy of the genetic code in two manners: having more than one tRNA (with a specific anti-codon) for a particular amino acid; and 'wobble' base-pairing, i.e. permitting non-standard base-pairing at the 3rd anti-codon position. Lineage: Bacteria; Pseudomonadati; Pseudomonadota; Alphaproteobacteria; Rhodospirillales; Rhodospirillaceae. RNAcentral also lists the same sequence under 1 other name. The record is from RNAcentral.